This 4091-nucleotide long non-coding RNA is filed under the name Brassica napus (rape). Its description in RNAcentral is "long non-coding RNA (BNAP_LNC013351)". Lineage: Eukaryota; Viridiplantae; Streptophyta; Magnoliopsida; Brassicales; Brassicaceae. The record is from RNAcentral.
CUUUCAGGCUGCUGUGCUUCUGCUGUUCAACACAACAGACAAAUUGAGCUACAACGAUAUCCUAACUCAACUGAACCUGAGCCAUGAAGAUCUAGUGAGGUUGCUUCAUUCCUUGUCAUGCGCUAGAUACAAGAUCCUUACCAAGGAGCCAAGCACAAAAACUGUUUCCCAGACUGAUUCAUUUGAAUUCAAUGCCAAAUUCACCGACAGAAUGCGCAGAAUAAAGGUCUGUAAAACAUUAACACACAAAACUUCAUGUGUUACUACUACUGGUUAUUAUCUUAGAUUAUAAACUUUUAUGUGGUUUUGCAUCACAGAUCCCUCUCCCACCUGUCGAUGAAAGGAAGAAAGUAGUGGAAGACGUGGACAAAGACAGACGCUAUGCGAUUGAUGCUGCGAUCGUGAGGAUCAUGAAGAGCAGGAAAGUGUUGGGACAUCAACAGCUUGUAUCUCUCUCCUCGUGGAGUUGACGUGUCGAUUCAGCAACAAGGACUCGCUGAGGCGUAUCCAUAUUUGACGUAUCCAUCAUGGCUUCACGAUGAAUCGUCUCGAAAACAGUUGGUUCGCGCUCUCGCGGUCACUCGACUCGAUCUCUCACGGUCACUCGGCGCAGAUAGUUCUCGCGCAUUCACUUGGCUCGAUCUCUCGCGGUCACUCCCUCGCUCUCCUUACUCGGCGCAGAACGAUCUCUCGCAGUCGCUCAGAUCUCUCUCUCCUCGCGGAGUUGACGUGUCGUUCUGUCGUCACCCGAUCGACGAGUCGUCACUCGACCGACGAGUUCUCACUCGACCUUCGAGUCGUCACUCGACCGACGAGCCGUCACUCGACCGAUGAGCCGUCACUCGACCGAUGGGUCGUUACUCGACCGUUUUGUCGUCACUCGACCGUUCUGUCGUCACUCGAUCGAUGAGUCGUCACUCGACCGACGAGUCCUCACUCGACCGACGAGUCGUCACUCGACCGACGAGUCGUCACUCGACCAACGAGCCCUCACUCGACCGACGAGUCCUCACUCAACCGUUUUGUCGUCACUCGACCGUUCUGUCGUCACUCUUCUACUAUCUUGACCGUUACUUCAUUGCUCGGAGAUCACUUCCACCGCUGAAUGAAGUUGGCCUGACUUGCUUCCGUGACCGGGUUUGGCGCUCGUUCUUGUUAUGUAUGGCUUUACAUGGCGUCAAUGAUAUUUUAACUCUUGAUUGAUUUUGUUAUUUCAGGUUUAUAACGAGUUGCAUUCCAAGGUCAAAGAUGCUGUAAUAGCACUUGUAAGUGUGGCGUGUAUAAUGUACAUUUAGUUCCAACUCUUGCUUUUACCUUAUUCAAGGUCUAACAUGAGCUGUUUCUAUGUCAGGUUGAUAAAGAACGGGAGGGCGAGCAGAUUGACAGGGCUCUUCUGAAAAACGUAUUGGACAUCUAUGUAGAGAUUGGAAUGGGACAGAUGGAAAGAUACGAAGUGGAUUUUGAAAGCUUCAUGCUUUUGGAUUCAGCUUCUUACUAUUCUCGCAAAGCAUCAAGCUGGAUCCAGGAAGAUUCUUGCCCUGAUUACAUGCUGAAGGUAUGAAUACUUAUAUUAUUUUCUAGAUUGCGUUGUCAUUCCAAAUUAGUAAAAUGCAUAUGUUAACUAGUCUGAUGUAUCCUUGUUAAAUCUCAUGUUGCAGUCUGAAGAAUGUCUGAAGAAGGAGAGGGAGAGAGUGGCUCACUACCUUCAUUCAAGCAGCGAGCCAAAGCUGGUUGAGGUUAGUUAUGAUGAUACCUCAUGCACGACACUUUGACUUUAUGCAUAGCAUUCAUUAUGCGUGUACUUACAGAAGCCAUGAUUUUGCAUUUUUAUUCAUAGAGACAUGCUUUUUAGACCCUGCUUCUGCAGAAAAGUAUAUAUUAAUUUUGAUUGAUAUCUAUUUGACUUCUAUAUUAAUCUGUUGGAUGCAGAAAGUACAACAUGAGCUGUUGGUUGUGUAUGCAAAUCAGCUUCUAGAAAAAGAGCACUCAGGGUGCCGUGCAUUGCUGAGAGAUGACAAGGUGGAGCAACUUACUCUUUGUUUCAUUGUUAAUUAUUUUGUCUUUCUAUUUCUGUCUUUGAUGGAGUAUCUGUGUGCUUUCAGGUUGAUGAUCUCUCCCGGAUGUACAGGCUUUAUCAUAAAAUUGCUAAAGGUUUAGAACCUGUUGCAAACAUAUUCAAGCAGGUUGCUUACCUAUCUUUAUUAUUAUGGUUUAGAUUGGCGAAGUCAUUUCUUCCUUGUGUACUUUUACUCUGUUAAAUACUGUUCUGCAUUAACUCCAUCGUGUAAUUUGUAUAUAGCAUGUCACAGCCGAGGGUAACGCACUCGUCCAACAGGCGGAAGACACGGCCACUAAUCAGGUUCAUAUUUUUUGUAUUUUUUACUCAGAAAUCUUUUCCGCGCUUUGCCUGUGAUCGCUAAAAUUUGUUUUUUACUCCACAGGCUGCAAAUAUUGCUAGCGUGCAGGAACAGGUAAAAACAGUGUCAAUGUUUUUACUAGUGAAGAUGUUGUCGAACUUAGUAAUUCACGUUUUCUUUCUAUGCUUUCAGGUUCUCAUCAGAAAAGUGAUUGAGCUACAUGAUAAAUACAUGGUCUAUGUCGUUGAGUGCUUCCAGAGCCACACCCUCUUCCACAAGGUUUAAUGUGCUUCCUGCAUACUAGUCAUGCAUAUAUCUUAUUGCAUGCGUGUAUUUGUUUGUAUUAACUUAAAUUUCUUCUAUUGUAGGCUCUGAAAGAGGCAUUUGAGAUAUUCUGUAACAAAACGGUCGCUGGAAGUUCAAGUGCAGAAUUGCUUGCAACAUUCUGCGACAACAUCCUCAAGAAGGGGGGUAGUGAGAAGCUGAGUGAUGAAGCUAUUGAAGACACGCUUGAGAAGGUUUGUAUUUUGUCAAGUUGCUUGCUAUAUUCAUUUUCAGUUUCUCCUUAAACCGGUGUUUAAUCUUAUUAUGUUGUUACAGGUGGUCAAAUUGCUUGCCUAUAUAAGCGACAAAGAUCUGUUUGCCGAGUUCUACAGGUUCAUCUCUCAUUCUGAGAUUUCUUAUAUACCUUGGAUUCUAAUAUUUUUGUGCUUAUAGAUGGUUUGUUGAUUCUAGCUCUUUGUUAAGGUCCCUUCCAAUAAUAUAGUAUGGAAUUACCAAGAUUGGGAUAACAAAUUGUAUGCGGUUUUGUUUUUGGCUGUUUUUCAGGAAGAAGCUGGCACGCAGGCUCUUAUUUGAUCGCAGUGCUAAUGAUGAUCAUGAGAGAAGUAUUCUUACAAAGCUCAAGCAGCAGUGUGGUGGGCAGUUUACUUCUAAGAUGGAGGGCAUGGUUAGUUUGCGUGUCCCUAUGUUUAUUGUCUCAGAACGGUGGUUUUUCUGAUGAUUUAUACUUUUUUUAAAUUUGAUAUGUUUUGUUACAGGUGACAGAUCUUACACUAGCCAGAGAAAACCAAACCAGUUUCGAGGAAUAUCUAGGCAAUAACCCCGCUGCAAACCCAGGAAUUGAUUUGACCGUGACUGUUCUUACAACUGGUUUCUGGCCAAGCUACAAAUCUUUCGACAUAAAUCUUCCCAGUGAAAUGGUAAGUAUCUGUUGAAUGUAUGUCUAAAAGGAGAAACGUUUGCUCCAGGUGAAGCUAAUCCCAUCGAUUUCUUUGUUUCAGGUCAAGUGUGUUGAAGUUUUCAAAGGGUUUUAUGAAACUAAAACGAAACACAGGAAACUUACAUGGAUCUAUUCACUAGGAACCUGUCACCUCAACGGCAAGUUUGAUCACAAGCCCAUUGAGUUAGUUGUGUCGACUUACCAGGUAUCAUUUGUAUUCUCAGAAACUGUUUGUAUAUUGGAUCCUUUAGAUGGCCUCUGAUGCUGAUUUUCUAAUUUUUAUUUACUUUCAGGCUGCUGUGCUUCUGCUGUUCAACACAACAGACAAAUUGAGCUACAACGAUAUCCUAACUCAACUGAACCUGAGCCAUGAAGAUCUAGUGAGGUUGCUUCAUUCCUUGUCAUGCGCUAGAUACAAGAUCCUUACCAAGGAGCCAAGCACAAAAACUGUUUCCCAGACUGAUUCAUUUGAAUUCAAUGCCAAAUUCACCGACAGAAUGCGCAGAAUAAAG